RNAcentral lists this small nuclear RNA (141 nucleotides) under Propithecus coquereli (Coquerel's sifaka). RNAcentral's name for it is "U4 spliceosomal RNA (ENSPCOG00000010963.1)". It matches the Rfam family "U4 spliceosomal RNA". From Rfam's summary of the family: U4 small nuclear RNA (U4 snRNA) is a component of the major U2-dependent spliceosome. The structure of U4 snRNA from yeast and human has been reported. Lineage: Eukaryota; Metazoa; Chordata; Mammalia; Primates; Indriidae. The record is from Rfam by way of RNAcentral.
AGCACGGCGCCGUAGCAGUAUUGUAGCAAAUGAGGUUUAUCCGAGGCAUGAUUAUUGCUAAUUGAAAACUUUUCCCAAUACCCCACCAUGAUGACUUGAAAUAUAGUUGGCAUUGGCAAUUUUUGACAGUCUCUAUGGAGA